RNAcentral lists this unclassified non-coding RNA (640 nucleotides) under Hevea brasiliensis (rubber tree). The record is from RNAcentral. Lineage: Eukaryota; Viridiplantae; Streptophyta; Magnoliopsida; Malpighiales; Euphorbiaceae.
GUUAAUUUUAAAAAUUAAAAAAUUAUUUCCAUUAUUAAAUUACAUCAAAUUGAAAUAAAACCAAAAAAUAAACCCUCAAUAUGUUUUAAUUUUUAUUGAGCCACAAAUCAAAACCACUUGUUCCAACCGCGACUAGAUCUAACCUCGAGCUCGGCUACUUGACCCUUUCCCUUGCCACUGUAAUUACAACAUUCCGCGUGAAUCCUACACAAAAUGAGAAAUCCAUAUGAGCUCCACCCAAGAUCAACAUUAUCUGGGGCCCGGCACUGCUCAACCCCCAUGAAUGAGAAGUUUCCCAGGUGCCUUUCUUUAUCUAACCGAAAGCAUAAUAAACGUAUAUCUUUCCAAGUUUACGCGUGCGGCUACAGAGGCCAAGGAAAAACAAUAUGGUCAUGAGAACUUAACCCAAUAACAAAAUUCCAUACUGUUUGUUUCCAUAUGAUGAUUUGAAUGCAUGUUACAGAUACGUAUCCCCAACAGUAUACACUGCUAUUGUGUGGAAAUUGCUUGUAUCUAUUUGUAUACAAUCAUCAACUGUAGAACACUAAUCCAAAAUUUCCACGGCUCUUUCUACUACUAGUUGCCUACUACUACCUCUUGAUCCAAUGCUCUUCCCUACAUUUGCCGCAAUUGCAGAAAU